RNAcentral lists this ribosomal RNA (355 nucleotides) under uncultured Pseudomonas sp. Its description in RNAcentral is "bacterial SSU rRNA". It matches the Rfam family "Bacterial small subunit ribosomal RNA", at positions 1029 to 1382 of the family's 1533-position model. Lineage: Bacteria; Pseudomonadati; Pseudomonadota; Gammaproteobacteria; Pseudomonadales; Pseudomonadaceae. The record is from RNAcentral.
CUGACACAGGUGCUGCAUGGCUGUCGUCAGCUCGUGUCGUGAGAUGUUGGGUUAAGUCCGUAACGAGCGCAACCCUUGUCCUUAGUUACCAGCACGUUAUGGUGGGCGACUCUAAGGAGACUGCCGGUGGCAAACCGGAGGAAGGUGGGGAGUGACGUCAAGUCAUCAUGGCCCUUACGGCCUGGGCUACACACGUGCUACAAUGGUCGGUACAAAGGGUUGCCAAGCCGCGAGGUGGAGCUAAUCCCAUAAAACCGAUCGUAGUCCGGAUCGCAGUCUGCAACUCGACUGCGUGAAGUCGGAAUCGCUAGUAACCGUGAAUCAGAAUGUCACGGUGAAUACGUUCCCGGGCCUU